GACGAACGCUGGCGGCGUGCUUAACACAUGCAAGUCGAACGGAAAGGCCCCUUCGGGGGUACUCGAGUGGCGAACAGGUGAGUAACACGUGCGUAACCUGCCCUUGACUUCGGGAUAACUUCAGGAAACUGGGGCUAAUACCGGAUAGGAAUCCUUGCUGCAUGGUGGGGGUUGGAAAGCUUCGGCGGUUUUGGAUGGACUCGCGGCUUAUCAGCUUGUUGGUGGGGUAGUGGCUUACCAAGGCUUUGACGGGUAGCCGGCCUGAGAGGGCGACCGGCCAAAUUGGGACUGGGGUACGGCCCAGACUCCUACGGGGGGCAGGAGGGGGGAAUAUUGCACAAUGGGCGGAAGCCUGAUGCAGCAACGCCGCGUGCGGGAUGACGGCCUUCGGGUUGUAAACCGCUUUCAGCAGGGGCGGAGCUUGUGGUGACGGUACCUGCAGAAGAAGCACCGGCUAACUACGUG
Molecule: ribosomal RNA, 465 nt
Filed under: uncultured bacterium
Lineage: Bacteria
Description: partial 16S ribosomal RNA
Rfam family: Bacterial small subunit ribosomal RNA
Source: RNAcentral